RNAcentral lists this ribosomal RNA (491 nucleotides) under uncultured bacterium. RNAcentral describes it as "partial 16S ribosomal RNA". It matches the Rfam family "Bacterial small subunit ribosomal RNA", at positions 29 to 507 of the family's 1533-position model. The record is from RNAcentral.
AGUGAACGCUGGCGGUAGGCCUAACACAUGCAAGUCGAACGGCAGCACAGUAAGAGCUUGCUCUUACGGGUGGCGAGUGGCGGACGGGUGAGGAAUACAUCGGAAUCUACUUUUUCGUGGGGGAUAACGUAGGGAACCUACGGUAAUUACGCAUACGACCUUCGGGUGAAAGCAGGGGAUCUUUGGAACCUGCGGGAUUGAAUGAGCCGAUGUCGGAUUAGCUAGUUGGCGGGGUAAAGGCCCACCAAGGCGACGAUCCGUAGCUGGUCUGAGAGGAUGAUCAGCCACACUGGAACUGAGACACGGUCCAGACUCCUACGGGAGGCAGCAGUGGGGAAUAUUGGACAAUGGGCGCAAGCCUGAUCCAGCCAUACCGCGUGGGUGAAGAAGGCCUUCGGGUUGUAAAGCCCUUUUGUUGGGAAAGAAAAGCAGCAGGUUAAUACCCCGCUGUUCUGACGGUACCCAAAGAAUAAGCACCGGCUAACUUCGUG